RNAcentral lists this ribosomal RNA (505 nucleotides) under uncultured bacterium. RNAcentral describes it as "partial 16S ribosomal RNA". It matches the Rfam family "Bacterial small subunit ribosomal RNA", at positions 28 to 507 of the family's 1533-position model. The record is from RNAcentral.
GACGAACGCUGGCGGCGUGCCUAAUACAUGCAAGUAGAACGCACAGUUUAUACCGUAGCUUGCUACACCAUAGACUGUGAGUUGCGAACGGGUGAGUAACGCGUAGGUAACCUGCCUGGUAGCGGGGGAUAACUAUUGGAAACGAUAGCUAAUACCGCAUAAUAUUAAUUAUUGCAUGAUAAUUGAUUGAAAGAUGCAACUGCAUCACUACCAGAUGGACCUGCGUUGUAUUAGCUAGUAGGUGAGGUAACGGCUCACCUAGGCGACGAUACAUAGCCGACCUGGGAGGGUGAUCGGCCACACUGGGACGGAGACACGGCCCAGACUCCUACGGGAGGCAGCAGUAGGGAAUCUUCGGCAAUGGACGGAAGUCUGACCGAGCAACGCCGCGUGAGUGAAGAAGGUUUUCGGAUCGUAAAGCGCUGUUGUAAGAGAAGAACGGGUGUGAGAGUGGAAAGUUCACACUGUGACGGUAACUGACCAGAAAGGGACGGCUAACUACGUG